AAUCAACGCUGGCGGCGUGCCUCAGACAUGCAAGUCGAACGCGAAAGUCCCCUUCGGGGGAUGAGUAGAGUGGCGCACGGGUGAGUAACACGUAGGUAAUCUACCUUCGGGUGGGGAAUAACAACCGGAAACGGUUGCUAAUACCGCAUAAUGCAGCGGCACCUAAUGGUGACAGUUGUUAAAGCGGGGGAUCGCAAGACCUCGCGCCUGAAGAGGAGCCUGCGGCGGAUUAGCUAGUUGGCAGGGUAACGGCCUACCAAGGCGACGAUCCGUAGCCGGCCUGAGAGGGCGGUCGGCCAUACUGACACUGACAUACGGGUCAGACUCCUACGGGAGGCAGCAGUCGGGAAUUUUGGGCAAUGGGCGAAAGCCUGACCCAGCAACGCCGCGUGAAGGAUGAAAUCCCUCGGGAUGUAAACUUCGCAAGAACGGGGAGAAUAAGCCGGUGUCAACACCACCGGCGAUGACGGUACCGUUUGUAAGCUCCGGCUAACUCCGUGCCAGCAGCCGCGGUAAUAC
This 519-nucleotide ribosomal RNA is filed under the name uncultured bacterium. RNAcentral's name for it is "bacterial SSU rRNA". It matches the Rfam family "Bacterial small subunit ribosomal RNA", at positions 32 to 526 of the family's 1533-position model. The record is from RNAcentral.